This 378-nucleotide unclassified non-coding RNA is filed under the name plant metagenome. RNAcentral's name for it is "partial contains 5.8S ribosomal RNA, internal transcribed spacer 2, and large subunit ribosomal RNA". The stretch from base 1 to 105 matches the Rfam family "5.8S ribosomal RNA", at positions 50 to 154 of the family's 154-position model. The record is from RNAcentral.
GAAAUGCGAUAAGUAAUGUGAAUUGCAGAAUUCAGUGAAUCAUCGAAUCUUUGAACGCACCUUGCGCUCCUUGGUAUUCCUUGGAGCAUGCCUGUUUGAGUAUCAUGAAAUCUUCAAAGUAAAUCUUUUGUUAACUCAAUUGGUUUCUACUUUGGUAUUGGAGGUCUUUGCAGCUUCACACCUGCUCCUCUUUGUUCAUUAGCUGGAUCUCAGUGUUAUGCUUGGUUCCACUCGGCGUGAUAAGUUAUCUAUCGCUGAGGACACUGUAAAAGGUGGCCAAGGUAAAUGCAGAUGAACCGCUUCUAAUAGUCCAUUGACUUGGACAAUACUUUUAUGAUCUGAUCUCAAAACAGGUAGGACUACCCGCUGAACUUAAGC